This 378-nucleotide RNase P RNA is filed under the name Planctomycetota bacterium. Its description in RNAcentral is "Planctomycetes bacterium RNase P RNA component class A". It matches the Rfam family "Bacterial RNase P class A". Rfam says of the family: Ribonuclease P (RNase P) is a ubiquitous endoribonuclease, found in archaea, bacteria and eukarya as well as chloroplasts and mitochondria. Its best characterised activity is the generation of mature 5'-ends of tRNAs by cleaving the 5'-leader elements of precursor-tRNAs. Cellular RNase Ps are ribonucleoproteins. The record is from RNAcentral. Lineage: Bacteria; Pseudomonadati; Planctomycetota.
UGGGAGGCCUGGGCGGCCGCUCCGCGUGGCCCGCGAGGGUCGGCGCGGGGAGGAAAGUCCGGGCUCCUCGGGUCAGGGUGGUUGCUAACGACAACCGGCCGCGAGGCCAGGGAAAGUGCCACAGAAAGCAAACCGCCUCCCGCGCGAGCGGGCGGUAAGGGUGAAAGGGUGCGGUAAGAGCGCACCGCGGUCCUGGUGACAGGGCUGGCAGGGUAAACCCCACCCGGAGAAAGACCAAAUAGGGAGGGCAUGGCGACGACCCGCGCCGAGGCCCUCCGGGUAGGUCGUUCGAGGCCGGGGGCGACUCCGGUCCCAGAGAAAUGGUCGCCUCCCCCUGUUGAGGGGGUACAGAACCCGGCUUACAGGGCCUGCCACGUC